RNAcentral lists this ribosomal RNA (465 nucleotides) under Vreelandella stevensii. RNAcentral's name for it is "partial 16S ribosomal RNA". It matches the Rfam family "Bacterial small subunit ribosomal RNA", at positions 338 to 795 of the family's 1533-position model. Lineage: Bacteria; Pseudomonadati; Pseudomonadota; Gammaproteobacteria; Oceanospirillales; Halomonadaceae. The record is from RNAcentral.
CCUACGGGGGGCAGCAGUGGGGAAUAUUGGACAAUGGGGGGAACCCUGAUCCAGCCAUGCCGCGUGUGUGAAGAAGGCCCUCGGGUUGUAAAGCACUUUCAGUGAGGAAGAACGCCUGGUGGUUAAUACCCAUCAGGAAAGACAUCACUCACAGAAGAAGCACCGGCUAACUCCGUGCCAGCAGCCGCGGUAAUACGGAGGGUGCGAGCCUUAAUCGGAAUUACUGGGCGUAAAGCGCGCGUAGGUGGCUUGAUAAGCCGGUUGUGAAAGCCCCGGGCUCAACCUGGGAACGGCAUCCGGAACUGUCAAGCUAGAGUGCAGGAGAGGAAGGUAGAAUUCCCGGUGUAGCGGUGAAAUGCGUAGAGAUCGGGAGGAAUACCAGUGGCGAAGGCGGCCUUCUGGACUGACACUGACACUGAGGUGCGAAAGCGUGGGUAGCAAACAGGAUUAGAUACCCGUGUAGUC